RNAcentral lists this transfer RNA (76 nucleotides) under Acidobacteriota bacterium. RNAcentral describes it as "Acidobacteria bacterium tRNA-Pro". The record is from RNAcentral. Lineage: Bacteria; Pseudomonadati; Acidobacteriota.
AGGAAGGACUUCCAAGAGAUAGUACGCCUGCCUUGGGCGCAGGAGGUCCCGAGUUCAAAUCUCGGCGCCCCGACCA